This 1554-nucleotide ribosomal RNA is filed under the name Klebsiella pneumoniae. Its description in RNAcentral is "bacterial SSU rRNA". It matches the Rfam family "Bacterial small subunit ribosomal RNA". RNAcentral also lists the same sequence under 2 other names. The record is from RNAcentral. Lineage: Bacteria; Pseudomonadati; Pseudomonadota; Gammaproteobacteria; Enterobacterales; Enterobacteriaceae.
ACUUAAAUUGAAGAGUUUGAUCAUGGCUCAGAUUGAACGCUGGCGGCAGGCCUAACACAUGCAAGUCGAGCGGUAGCACAGAGAGCUUGCUCUCGGGUGACGAGCGGCGGACGGGUGAGUAAUGUCUGGGAAACUGCCUGAUGGAGGGGGAUAACUACUGGAAACGGUAGCUAAUACCGCAUAACGUCGCAAGACCAAAGUGGGGGACCUUCGGGCCUCAUGCCAUCAGAUGUGCCCAGAUGGGAUUAGCUAGUAGGUGGGGUAACGGCUCACCUAGGCGACGAUCCCUAGCUGGUCUGAGAGGAUGACCAGCCACACUGGAACUGAGACACGGUCCAGACUCCUACGGGAGGCAGCAGUGGGGAAUAUUGCACAAUGGGCGCAAGCCUGAUGCAGCCAUGCCGCGUGUGUGAAGAAGGCCUUCGGGUUGUAAAGCACUUUCAGCGGGGAGGAAGGCGGUGAGGUUAAUAACCUCAUCGAUUGACGUUACCCGCAGAAGAAGCACCGGCUAACUCCGUGCCAGCAGCCGCGGUAAUACGGAGGGUGCAAGCGUUAAUCGGAAUUACUGGGCGUAAAGCGCACGCAGGCGGUCUGUCAAGUCGGAUGUGAAAUCCCCGGGCUCAACCUGGGAACUGCAUUCGAAACUGGCAGGCUAGAGUCUUGUAGAGGGGGGUAGAAUUCCAGGUGUAGCGGUGAAAUGCGUAGAGAUCUGGAGGAAUACCGGUGGCGAAGGCGGCCCCCUGGACAAAGACUGACGCUCAGGUGCGAAAGCGUGGGGAGCAAACAGGAUUAGAUACCCUGGUAGUCCACGCCGUAAACGAUGUCGAUUUGGAGGUUGUGCCCUUGAGGCGUGGCUUCCGGAGCUAACGCGUUAAAUCGACCGCCUGGGGAGUACGGCCGCAAGGUUAAAACUCAAAUGAAUUGACGGGGGCCCGCACAAGCGGUGGAGCAUGUGGUUUAAUUCGAUGCAACGCGAAGAACCUUACCUGGUCUUGACAUCCACAGAACUUUCCAGAGAUGGAUUGGUGCCUUCGGGAACUGUGAGACAGGUGCUGCAUGGCUGUCGUCAGCUCGUGUUGUGAAAUGUUGGGUUAAGUCCCGCAACGAGCGCAACCCUUAUCCUUUGUUGCCAGCGGUCCGGCCGGGAACUCAAAGGAGACUGCCAGUGAUAAACUGGAGGAAGGUGGGGAUGACGUCAAGUCAUCAUGGCCCUUACGACCAGGGCUACACACGUGCUACAAUGGCAUAUACAAAGAGAAGCGACCUCGCGAGAGCAAGCGGACCUCAUAAAGUAUGUCGUAGUCCGGAUUGGAGUCUGCAACUCGACUCCAUGAAGUCGGAAUCGCUAGUAAUCGUAGAUCAGAAUGCUACGGUGAAUACGUUCCCGGGCCUUGUACACACCGCCCGUCACACCAUGGGAGUGGGUUGCAAAAGAAGUAGGUAGCUUAACCUUCGGGAGGGCGCUUACCACUUUGUGAUUCAUGACUGGGGUGAAGUCGUAACAAGGUAACCGUAGGGGAACCUGCGGUUGGAUCACCUCCUUACCUUAAAGAA